RNAcentral lists this ribosomal RNA (572 nucleotides) under Lophiostoma sp. OTU1 TS-2013. Its description in RNAcentral is "eukaryotic LSU rRNA". It matches the Rfam family "Eukaryotic large subunit ribosomal RNA", at positions 62 to 648 of the family's 3401-position model. The record is from RNAcentral. Lineage: Eukaryota; Fungi; Ascomycota; Dothideomycetes; Pleosporales; Lophiostomataceae.
AAACCAACAGGGAUUGCCCUAGUAACGGCGAGUGAAGCGGCAAGAGCUCAAAUUUGAAAUCUGGCCCUCUCAGGGUCCGAGUUGUAAUUUGUAGAGGGCGCUUUGGCGUUGGCCCCGGCCUAAGUUCCUUGGAACAGGACGUCACAGAGGGUGAGAACCCCGUACGUGGCCGCCGGCCUCCGCCGUGUAAAGCCCCUUCGACGAGUCGAGUUGUUUGGGAAUGCAGCUCUAAAUGGGAGGUAAAUUUCUUCUAAAGCUAAAUACUGGCCAGAGACCGAUAGCGCACAAGUAGAGUGAUCGAAAGAUGAAAAGCACUUUGGAAAGAGAGUCAAAAAGCACGUGAAAUUGUUGAAAGGGAAGCGCUUGCAGCCAGACUUGCCUGUAGUUGUUCAUCCGUGCUACUGGCACGGUGCACUCUUCUGCGGGCAGGCCAGCAUCAGUCCGGGCGGUCGGAUAAAGGCCUCGGGAAUGUAGCUCCCCUCGGGGAGUGUUAUAGCCCGGGGUGCCAUGCGACCAGCCUGGACUGAGGUCCGCGCAUCUGCUAGGAUGCUGGCGUAAUGGCUGUAAGCGGC